Molecule: ribosomal RNA, 724 nt
Filed under: Scleroderma sp.
Lineage: Eukaryota; Fungi; Basidiomycota; Agaricomycetes; Boletales; Sclerodermataceae
Description: eukaryotic LSU rRNA
Rfam family: Eukaryotic large subunit ribosomal RNA
Source: RNAcentral
GAGAAGCGUCUUCCGCGCCGGACCGUGUACAAGUCUCCUGGAAGGGAGCAUCGUAGAGGGUGACAAUCCCGUCUCUGACACGGACCGCCGGCGCUGUGCGAUGCGCUCUCGACGAGUCGAGUUGUUUGGGAAUGCAGCUCAAAUCGGGUGGUAAACUCCAUCUAAAGCUAAAUACGGGCGAGAGACCGAUAGCGAACAAGUACCGUGAGGGAAAGAUGAAAAGAACUUUGGAAAGAGAGUUAAACAGUACGUGAAAUUGCUGGAAGGGAAACGCUUGACGUCAGUCGCGUCGUCCGGGGAUCAACCCUGCCUCUGGCUGGGCGUAUUUCCCGGUCGACGGGUCAGCAUCGAUUUCGAUCGUCGUAGAAGGACGGGAGCGAACGUGGCACUCCACGGAGUGUGUUAUAGCCUUCCGUAUGGAUGCGACGGUCGGGAUCGAGGAACUCGGCACGGCCCCUCGAGGGUUCGGGACUUCGGUCCACGCAGCGUGCCCAGGAUGCUGGCGUAAUGGCUUUAAGCGACCCGUCUUGAAACACGGACCAAGGAGUCUAACGUGCCUGCGAGUGUUUGGGUGAAAAACCCGAGCGCGCAACGAAAGUGAAAGUCGAGACCUCCGUCGCGGAGGGCACCGACGCCCGGACCGGAGCCUUUGGCGAUGGAUCUGCGGUAGAGCAUGUAUGUUGGGACCCGAAAGAUGGUGAACUAUGCCUGAAUAGGGCGAAGC